CCCCAAGUCACCAAUUCUGGUGCCUGUCCCUGAGUGGGUUCCAUCUUAAGAGCCAGGGAUGCUGCAGUAGGCCCGGUCAAUGCCAGCAUCACCAGCCCAAUGACACGGACACUGGGCUGGCGGUGAGCCCAGCACACGCUGGAGUACCUCCCAAUCAACUCCUGCAUUCUAGAGGCUUCAGAAAAGCUAAGUCCUACAUGGAAACAAAAAUUUGGCCCAAGAUCAACAGUAACUCCGUGUCUCAGUCGUCUACAAACCAGCUCCCUUCACUGGCUGACGCCCAGACUCAUCUCAGGAACCACAGGGGCGCCUGAAAGCCAGAAGGCCCUCUCCAAACUGCUGUAGGAGCCAAUCCCGCCCAUUUGUGAUGUCUGGGCUCACCAGCUCCGCCCCGCCCACUCCCAAGGCAGUGCUGGU
Molecule: long non-coding RNA, 417 nt
Organism: Molossus molossus (Pallas's mastiff bat)
Lineage: Eukaryota; Metazoa; Chordata; Mammalia; Chiroptera; Molossidae
Exons: 3
Source: RefSeq, a predicted model, not a curated record